This is a non-coding RNA of Anopheles merus, 195 nucleotides long. The record is from Rfam. NCBI's taxonomy places the organism in Eukaryota, Metazoa, Arthropoda, Insecta, Diptera, Culicidae.
CGUAGGUCAACUCGGCAAUGGGAUGCGGGAUUCGAAGCCCUCCGAGGGAUAAUAUAGGCUCUCCCAUCCAACUCCUAUUCCGACACGUCCUCGUCGUGCAGAGUGAUAACAUGUGCCUCCAUAUAUCCUAGCUCGGGUACACGGGCUAGAUCCAACCCCUUGGGCAGAUGGUGGCAUAUUGCGAACCAGGAGGGA